CUACGGGGUGCUGCAGUGAGGAAUAUUGCACAAUGGGGGGAACCCUGAUGCAGCAACGCCGCGUGGAGGAUGGCGCAUUUCGGUGUGUAAACUCCUUUUAUAUGUCAAGAAAAUGACGGUAGCAUAUGAAUAAGCACCGGCUAACUCCGUGCCAGCAGCCGCGGUAAUACGGAGGGUGCAAGCGUUACUAGGAAUCACUGGGCGUAAAGGACGCGUAGGCGGGUUGGAAAGUCAGGUGUGAAAUCCUACAGCUUAACUGUAGAACUGCACUUGAAACUUCUAAUCUAGAGUAUGGGAGGGGGAGAUGGAAUUAGUGGUGUAGGGGUAAAAUCCGUAGAUAUCACUAGGAAUACCUAAAGCGAAGGCGAUCUCCUGGAACAUUACUGACGCUAAGGCGUGAAAGCGUGGGGAGCAAACAGGAUUAGAUACCCGAGUAGUC
This 439-nucleotide ribosomal RNA is filed under the name uncultured bacterium. RNAcentral describes it as "partial 16S ribosomal RNA". It matches the Rfam family "Bacterial small subunit ribosomal RNA", at positions 339 to 795 of the family's 1533-position model. The record is from RNAcentral.